GAUCCAGCCGUGCCGCGUGAUUGAUGAAGGCCCUAGGGUUGUAAAGAUCUUUCAACAGUGAAGAUAAUGACGGUAACUGUAGAAGAAGCUCCGGCUAACUCCGUGCCAGCAGCCGCGGUAAUACGGAGGGAGCUAGCGUUGUUCGGAAUUACUGGGCGUAAAGCGCGCGUAGGCGGAUUAUUAAGUCAGAGGUGAAAUCCCGGGGCUCAACCCCGGAACUGCCUUUGAUACUGGUAGUCUAGAGGUCGAGAGAGGUGAGUGGAAUUCCGAGUGUAGAGGUGAAAUUCGUAGAUAUUCGGAGGAACACCAGUGGCGAAGGCGGCUCACUGGCUCGAUACUGACGCUGAGGUGCGAAAGUGUGGGUAGCAAACAGGAUUAGAUACCCUGGUAGUCCACACCGUAAACGAUGAAUGCUAGUCGUCAGGGGACUUGUCCUUUGGUGACGCAGCUAACGCAUUAAGCAUUCCGCCUGGGGAGUACGGUCGCAAGAUUAAAACUCAAAGGAAUUGACGGAGG
RNAcentral lists this ribosomal RNA (516 nucleotides) under uncultured Paracoccaceae bacterium. RNAcentral describes it as "bacterial SSU rRNA". It matches the Rfam family "Bacterial small subunit ribosomal RNA", at positions 385 to 919 of the family's 1533-position model. The record is from RNAcentral. Lineage: Bacteria; Pseudomonadati; Pseudomonadota; Alphaproteobacteria; Rhodobacterales; Paracoccaceae.